AUACGGAGGAUGCGAGCGUUAUCCGGAUUUAUCGGGUUUAAAGGGAGCGUAGGUGGGAUAUUAAGUCAGCUGUGAAAGUUUGGGGCUCAACCUUAAAAUUGCAGUUGAUACUGGUUUCCUUGAGUACGGUAUAGGUGGGCGGAAUUCGUGGUGUAGCGGUGAAAUGCUUAGAUAUCACGAAGAACUCCGAUCGCGAAGGCAGCUCACCGGGCCGGAACUGACACUGAUGCUCGAAAGGGCGGGUAUCAAACAGGAUUAGAUACCCUGGUAGUCCGCACAGUAAACGAUGAAUACUCGGUGUUUGCGAUACACGGUAAGCGGGCAAGCGAAAGCGUUAAGUAUUCCACCUGGGGAGUACGCCGGCAACGGUGAAACUCAAAGGAAUUGACGGGG
Molecule: ribosomal RNA, 393 nt
Filed under: uncultured bacterium
Lineage: Bacteria
Description: partial 16S ribosomal RNA
Rfam family: Bacterial small subunit ribosomal RNA
Source: RNAcentral